UAGUUUCCUUUCAGCACUGGGAGAGAGGAAGCAGGAGUUGCAACAGAUCCAGUAAGCCAUUUGAAGACCUGCAAGAAGAUAAGGUAUGGGCAGGACAUGCUAUAAGAUCAUCAGGCUUAAAGCUGACAGGUCAGAGUUCAUCAUCAGACCAGCUUCUUGGCGAUGAAGAAGUCUUUGAGUCGUUUCAUCUGCCAGAAACCAACUGACAGCAGAAUGAAGCUUCUCUCCAGCAAAGACAGCAAACCUUGUGGAGUUGGUUUGGAAGCAAAGGUAGUGCUGACCAGAGGCGUGAGCUGUGAAGUGACGCCGAGUUGAGGGUAGUGGGAAUACGCCUUCAAAUCCCAAGGCUCCAACAAGAAAUAACCUGAAGGACUCACCGGUGACUAGCAUGUCUUCAGGAAUCUCCUCGAUGAUGCAUUUUUCCUCCUGCUCUCCGAGAUCAAAAUACAUGGCUGCUGCCAACAUCAGAUCUGCAAACUCUAGGUCAGGAUUGAGGUAAUUUUCAUUGACUAGCCAAAUACUCAUGUCCUAUAGCGUGUAUUUAAAGUUGAAGGCUAUAAGGGAGACAGUUUGAGUGUGAGAAACUCACAGGUGCUGCUUUGUGUGACGAGACAUUCUGGUCGUUAUUUGACUGGUUAAACUGGGAGCCAAUAGCGAAGCUGCUAAGAAUAGUGAUUGACUGGGACUGACUACUUGCUGCAGAUACAGAUAAUCCAGCAUUGCGCUCAUAAUACACCAACGUGGAAGUAGGAGUAGCACUCUGGCACGUGCAAUAUUUAAGUAUUUCCUUGCUAUUAAACAGAAAAUAUUUAUUGCUGUAUACUUGUUUAACACCGCAGUAGACAUGUUUAACACUGCAGUAGACUUAUUUCCUUCGCAGAGCCAAGUGCCUCCUCUGCAUUUAUUACACUAAAUCCAAAGUGAAAGAUGUUGAACUGUGCCUUGAGGGAUAUAUCAAUAGCUAUCAACAAGAUGCAGGAAGUAAUUCAUCCAAGAAGGUGUUUAUCCAUUUUGGUUGUCCCCCUAGGCUGAGACAAUGUAUGAACACACUGCUGUGGUAGCGUGAUGCCACAGCAGUUUCUCUUGACAAAUUAGACAUGCACUUCUCAUCUGACCUACUGACUUAAUUUUAUUAAUAAAAUAUGGUGGUCACAUUUUAAUUUAGUAACGUAGUAACGCAGUAAGGAUUACUAGUCUGUGACUUUUACUACAGUAUGAAAGAAGGUUCAAAUGUCUUUGGAAAUUAAGUGGAAAUUGUAAUCCAAACCAUUACAUACAAUAGUUGCCAUAUGCUAACCCUAGAUGAGUUCACUUAUAAAGUAAACCCCCACUCCCACACACACACACAGAAUAAAUCCUUCUCAUAUUUACCAUCUGCAAAAGUUGUUAUUCCUCAAAGUUAGCAAAGAAUCUGUUUUCCUUCUCCUCCUACUCUUCAGUGGUUUUGCAG
Molecule: long non-coding RNA, 1450 nt
Organism: Etheostoma spectabile (orangethroat darter)
Lineage: Eukaryota; Metazoa; Chordata; Actinopteri; Perciformes; Percidae
Exons: 7
Source: RefSeq, a predicted model, not a curated record